Gopherus evgoodei (Goodes thornscrub tortoise) is the source of this 72-nucleotide non-coding RNA. The record is from the annotation of a RefSeq genome assembly. Lineage: Eukaryota; Metazoa; Chordata; Testudines; Testudinidae.
GGGGAUAUAGCUCAGUGGUAGAGUGUUUGACUGCAGCUCAGGAGGUCCCUGUUUCAAAUCCAAGUGUCCUCU